CAGUAGCCACGGGAAUACGGAGGGUGCAAGCGUUAUCCGGAUUUAUUGUGUUUAAAGGGUCCGUAGGCGGAUCUGUAAGUCAGUGGUGAAAUCUCACAGCUUAACUGUGAAACUGCCAUUGAUACUGCAGGUCUUGAGUAAAUUUGAAGUGGCUGGAAUAAGUAGUGUAGCGGUGAAAUGCAUAGAUAUUACUUAGAACACCAAUUGCGAAGGCAGGUCACUAAGAUUUAACUGACGCUGAUGGACGAAAGCGUGGGGAGCGAACAGGAUUAGAUACCCCAGUAGUUCCUGUCUCUUAUAC
This 301-nucleotide ribosomal RNA is filed under the name uncultured bacterium. RNAcentral's name for it is "partial 16S ribosomal RNA". It matches the Rfam family "Bacterial small subunit ribosomal RNA", at positions 509 to 807 of the family's 1533-position model. The record is from RNAcentral.